AUGCGUAUGUUGAGAUGGAUGUGUGGCCACACGAGGAAGGAUCGAGUCCGGAAUGAUGAUAUACGAGAUAGAGUUGGGGUAGCACCAAUUGAGGAGAAGCUUGUCCAACAUCGUUUGAGAUGGUUUGGGCAUAUUCAGCGCAGGCCUCCAGAAGCUCCAGUGCAUAGCGGACGACUAAAGCGUGCGGAGAAUGUCAAGAGAGGGCGGGGUCGACCGAUUUUGACAUGGGAGGAGUCCAUUAAGAGAGACCUGAAGGAUUGGAGUAUCGACAAAGAGCUAGCUAUGGACAAGGGUGCGUGGAAGCUUGCUAUCCAUGUGCCAGAGCCAUGA
Molecule: ribosomal RNA, 330 nt
Filed under: Triticum aestivum (bread wheat)
Lineage: Eukaryota; Viridiplantae; Streptophyta; Magnoliopsida; Poales; Poaceae
Description: partial small subunit ribosomal RNA
Source: RNAcentral